Molecule: transfer RNA, 69 nt
Filed under: Dipodomys ordii (Ord's kangaroo rat)
Lineage: Eukaryota; Metazoa; Chordata; Mammalia; Rodentia; Heteromyidae
Rfam family: tRNA
About the family: Transfer RNA (tRNA) molecules are approximately 80 nucleotides in length. Their secondary structure includes four short double-helical elements and three loops (D, anti-codon, and T loops).
Source: Rfam by way of RNAcentral
GGUAAGUGACUCAGUGGUAGAGUGCUUGCCUUGCAUGCAUGAAGCCCUGGGUUCGAUUCCUCAGCACCA